GAUGAACUCUGGCGGCGUGCUUAACACAUGCAAGUCGAACGGGAAACCUUUUAUUGAAGCUUCGGCAGAUUUAGCUGGUUUCUAGUGGCGGACGGGUGAGUAACGCGUGGGUAACCUGCCUUAUACAGGGGGAUAACAGUCAGAAAUGACUGCUAAUACCGCAUAAGCGCACAGGACCGCAUGGUCCGGUGUGAAAAACUCCGGUGGUAUAAGAUGGACCCGCGUUGGAUUAGCUGGUUGGUGAGGUAACGGCUCACCAAGGCGACGAUCCAUAGCCGGCCUGAGAGGGUGAACGGCCACAUUGGGACUGAGACACGGCCCACACUCCUACGGGAGGCAGCAGUGGGGAAUAUUGCACAAUGGGGGAAACCCUGAUGCAGCGACGCCGCGUGAAGGAAGAAGUAUCUCGGUAUGUAAACUUCUAUCAGCAGGGAAGAUAGUGACGGUACCUGACUAAGAAGCCCCGGCUAACUACGUGCCAGCAGCCGCGGUAAUACGUAGGGGGCAAGCGUUAUCCGGAUUUACUGGGUGUAAAGGGAGCGUAGACGGACUGGCAAGUCUGAUGUGAAAGGCGGGGGCUCAACCCCUGGACUGCAUUGGAAACUGUUAGUCUUGAGUGCCGGAGAGGUAAGCGGAAUUCCUAGUGUAGCGGUGAAAUGCGUAGAUAUUAGGAGGAACACCAGUGGCGAAGGCGGCUUACUGGACGGUAACUGACGUUGAGGCUCGAAAGCGUGGGGAGCAAACAAGAUUAGAUACCCUGGUAGUCCACGCCGUAAACGAAGAAUACUAGGUGUUGGGGAGCAAAGCUCUUCGGUGCCGCCGCAAACGCAUUAAGUAUUCCCACCUGGGGAGUACGUUCGCAAGAAUGAAACUCAAAGGAAUUGACGGGGACCCGCACAAGCGGUGGAGCAUGUGGUUUAAUUCGAAGCAACGCGAAGAACCUUACCAAGUCUUGACAUCCCUCUGACCGACUCUUAACCGAGUCUUUCCUUCGGGACAGAGGAGACAGGUGGUGCAUGGUUGUCGUCAGCUCGUGUCGUGAGAUGUUGGGUUAAGUCCCGCAACGAGCGCAACCCCUAUCCCCAGUAGCCAGCGGUUCGGCCGGGCACUCUGAGGAGACUGCCAGGGAUAACCUGGAGGAAGGCGGGGAUGACGUCAAAUCAUCAUGCCCCUUAUGAUUUGGGCUACACACGUGCUACAAUGGCGUAAACAAAGGGAAGCGAGCCUGCGAAGGUAAGCAAAUCCCAAAAAUAACGUCCCAGUUCGGACUGCAGUCUGCAACUCGACUGCACGAAGCUGGAAUCGCUAGUAAUCGCGGAUCAGAAUGCCGCGGUGAAUACGUUCCCGGGUCUUGUACA
RNAcentral lists this ribosomal RNA (1358 nucleotides) under uncultured bacterium. RNAcentral describes it as "bacterial SSU rRNA". It matches the Rfam family "Bacterial small subunit ribosomal RNA", at positions 28 to 1387 of the family's 1533-position model. The record is from RNAcentral.